RNAcentral lists this unclassified non-coding RNA (452 nucleotides) under Hevea brasiliensis (rubber tree). The record is from RNAcentral. Lineage: Eukaryota; Viridiplantae; Streptophyta; Magnoliopsida; Malpighiales; Euphorbiaceae.
CCCCAGCCAUCUUUGGAGAAUCACCAACUUCCAACCUAAUCUAUCCACAAACCUCAGGGGAAUUUUCUAUCUGAGUUCAAUAGCCCACCUAAAUACUUAUUUGUGGUCCUCCCAAGACAAAGAUUUCACCAAAUUAUCAAUCGGUUUUGCUGUAAAGCUGAUCUGGGUCAAUCUCUUUUUGGCUAAAAAAAAUCCACAAUUUAGAAGAAGAAGAAGCAGAAGCAGAGACAAGUGAUGUGUAUAUCAAUAGUGAAUGGCAAAUGCAGAAAAAGAGAUCAAAUAAAUCCCCAUAUACAGAAGGCUAUUUCGGAGUUUUCAAAGUCUUCCAAAUCUGUGGUCAAUGCUCCCAUUCUUGCUUCUCCUAGCAAUUUCCUACGACCAUGUAAAUAGACAGAUUUCUAUCUUUUUAAUGCAAGGACUGACCUUUUAGCUUUUGGCCUGCUUCCCACCAU